RNAcentral lists this ribosomal RNA (253 nucleotides) under uncultured bacterium. RNAcentral describes it as "partial 16S ribosomal RNA". It matches the Rfam family "Bacterial small subunit ribosomal RNA", at positions 524 to 776 of the family's 1533-position model. The record is from RNAcentral.
UACGAAGGGAACUAGCGUUGUUCGGAAUCACUGGGCGUAAAGCGGGCGCAGGCGGACUAUCCAGUCAGGGGUGAAAGCCCAAGGCUUAACCUUGGAAUUGCCUUUGAAGCUGAUAGUCUGGAGUGUGUGAGGGGGUAGCGGAAUUCCGAAUGUAGAGGUGAAAUUCGUAGAUAUUCGGAGGAACACCGGUGGCGAAGGCGGCUACCUGGCACACAACUGACGCUGAGGCCCGAAAGCGUGGGGAUCAAACAGG